GGGGCUGUAGCUCAGUGGUAGAGCACUUGCCUAGCAUGUGUGAGGCAUUGGAUUCGAUCCUCAGCACCA
Molecule: non-coding RNA, 69 nt
Organism: Ictidomys tridecemlineatus (thirteen-lined ground squirrel)
Lineage: Eukaryota; Metazoa; Chordata; Mammalia; Rodentia; Sciuridae
Source: Rfam